GGGAUAACUACGGGAAACUGUAGCUAAUACCGCAUAAGCAAAAGCCGAAAGGUUUUUGGAAAAGCCGGGACCGCAAGGCCGGUUGCCAAAGGAUGAGCCCAUGUCCCAUUAGCUUGUUGGCGGGGUAACGGCCCACCAAGGCGAAGAUGGGUAGCUGGUCUGAGAGGACGAUCAGCCACACUGGAACUGAGACACGGUCCAGACUCCUACGGGAGGCAGCAGUGGGGAAUAUUGCGCAAUGGGGGAAACCCUGACGCAGCAACGCCGCGUGAGUGAUGAAGGCCUUCGGGUUGUAAAGCUCUUUCGGCUGGGAAGAAGGGUGUGGGAGUUAAUAAGUCUCACAUUUGAUGGUACCAGAGUAAGAAGCACCGGCUAACUUCGUGCCAGCAGCCGCGGUAAUACGAAGGGUGCAAGCGUUGUUCGGAAUUACUGGGCGUAAAGGGUUCGUAGGCGGGAAGACAAGUCAAGUGUGAAAUCCCCAGGCUCAACCUGGGACGUGCAUUUGAGACUGUUUUUCUUGAGUUUUAGAGAGGGUGGUGGAAUUGCUGGUGUAGGAG
This 557-nucleotide ribosomal RNA is filed under the name Aeromonas sp. Its description in RNAcentral is "bacterial SSU rRNA". It matches the Rfam family "Bacterial small subunit ribosomal RNA", at positions 140 to 681 of the family's 1533-position model. Lineage: Bacteria; Pseudomonadati; Pseudomonadota; Gammaproteobacteria; Aeromonadales; Aeromonadaceae. The record is from RNAcentral.